This 253-nucleotide ribosomal RNA is filed under the name uncultured bacterium. Its description in RNAcentral is "partial 16S ribosomal RNA". It matches the Rfam family "Bacterial small subunit ribosomal RNA", at positions 524 to 776 of the family's 1533-position model. The record is from RNAcentral.
GACAGAGGAGCCAAGCGUUGUCCGGAUUGACUGGGCGUAAAGCGCACGCAGGCGGCCGUGCACGUGGGGUGUGAAAGCGCUCGGCUUAACUGAGCGAUGCCACCUCAUACGGCAGGGCUCGAGCCCGUGAGAGGUCCACGGAAUUGCCGGUGUAGUGGUGAAAUGCGUAGAGAUCGGCAGGAACACCCAGGGGGAAAGCAGUGGACUGGCACGGUGCUGACGCUCAGGUGCGAAAGCGUGGGGAGCGAACCGG